Molecule: ribosomal RNA, 343 nt
Filed under: uncultured bacterium
Lineage: Bacteria
Description: bacterial SSU rRNA
Rfam family: Bacterial small subunit ribosomal RNA
Source: RNAcentral
GGGCGCAGCCUGAUGCAGCCAUGCCGCGUGUAUGAAGAAGGCCUUCGGGUUGUAAAGUACUUUCAGCGGGGAGGAAGGGAAUAAGUUAAUACCUUUGCUCAUUGACGUUACCCGCAGAAGAAGCACCGGCUAACUCCGUGCCAGCAGCCGCGGUAAUACGGAGGGUGCAAGCGUUAAUCGGAAUUACUGGGCGUAAAGCGCACGCAGGCGGUCUGUCAAGUCGGAUGUGAAAUCCCCGGGCUCAACCUGGGAACUGCAUUCGAAACUGGCAGGCUAGAGUCUUGUAGAGGGGGGUAGAAUUCCAGGUGUAGCGGUGAAAUGCGUAGAGAUCUGGAGGAAUACC